This 429-nucleotide ribosomal RNA is filed under the name Pseudomonadota bacterium. Its description in RNAcentral is "Proteobacteria bacterium partial 16S ribosomal RNA". It matches the Rfam family "Bacterial small subunit ribosomal RNA", at positions 355 to 776 of the family's 1533-position model. Lineage: Bacteria; Pseudomonadati; Pseudomonadota. The record is from RNAcentral.
UGGGGAAUAUUGGACAAUGGGCGAAAGCCUGAUCCAGCCAUGCCGCGUGUGUGAAGAAGGUCUUCGGAUUGUAAAGCACUUUAAUUUGGGAGGAAGGGCAGUAAGCGAAUACCUUGCUGUUUUGACGUUACCGACAGAAUAAGCACCGGCUAACUCUGUGCCAGCAGCCGCGGUAAUACAGAGGGUGCAAGCGUUAAUCGGAAUUACUGGGCGUAAAGCGCGCGUAGGUGGUUCGGUAAGUUGAAUGUGAAAGCCCCGGGCUCAACCUGGGAACUGCAUCCAAAACUGGCGAGCUAGAGUAGGGCAGAGGGUGGUGGAAUUUCCUGUGUAGCGGUGAAAUGCGUAGAUAUAGGAAGGAACACCAGUGGCGAAGGCGACCACCUGGGCUCAAACUGACACUGAGGUGCGAAAGCGUGGGGAGCAAACAGG